RNAcentral lists this long non-coding RNA (407 nucleotides) under Monodelphis domestica (gray short-tailed opossum). RNAcentral describes it as "lncRNA (ENSMODG00000041267.1)". Lineage: Eukaryota; Metazoa; Chordata; Mammalia; Didelphimorphia; Didelphidae. The record is from RNAcentral.
GUCCACAGCUUUUCCUAAGGAAUUUCUUCUGCCACAGUUUUCUGAACCAGAUACAACAUGGCACCUUGCAACCCUUAUUGCUGAGUCUCUGGACACCACAGAAGGAAUAAAUACAUGCUAGGAAUGGGAGAUAGAAAAAUAAAGGAUUAAACAAUCCCUGCCUGCAAGAAUAUGAGAGACUUUAAUGCUUUGCCAAAAUCUGGGAUUCCUAAGAGUUAGAGUGACAUCAUGGAAAACCUCAUCUGCUCCCUUUGUGUCCUUCUCAGAGACCAAAUGCUAAACUGGAUGGAUCAUAAGGCUUAUUUUUUCCUUUGAAAAGUUGGACCCAGUCACUGCUGCCAGCAAGGGAGCGGGGAAGUAUGAAUUUCAAGUCAUAGUUCUUUGGUCACAAAUUCAUUUGUAUUGAU